This 886-nucleotide ribosomal RNA is filed under the name uncultured bacterium. RNAcentral describes it as "bacterial SSU rRNA". It matches the Rfam family "Bacterial small subunit ribosomal RNA", at positions 21 to 906 of the family's 1533-position model. The record is from RNAcentral.
GGCUCAGGAUGAACGCUAGCGGCAGGCUUAAUACAUGCAAGUCGAGGGGCAGCGGGAGUAGCAAUACUUGCCGGCGACCAGCGCACGGGUGCGUAACACGUAUACAAUCUGCCUUUAACAGGAGGAUAGCCCGGAGAAAUCCGGAUUAAUACUCCAUAACAGUAGAGCAAGCAUUUGCUUUAUUUGAAAGCUCCGGCGGUUAAAGAUGAGUAUGCGUCUGAUUAGCUAGUUGGUAGUGUAACGGACUACCAAGGCAACGAUCAGUAGGGGAUCUGAGAGGACUACCCCCCACACUGGUACUGAGACACGGACCAGACUCCUACGGGAGGCAGCAGUAAGGAAUAUUGGACAAUGCCCGCAAGGGUGAUCCAGCCAUGCCGCGUGCAGGAAGAAGGCCCUAUGGGUCGUAAACUGCUUUUGAACAAGAGAAAACCCCCCUACGUGUAGGGGGCUGAUAGUAUUGUUAGAAUAAGCAUCGGCUAACUUCGUGCCAGCAGCCGCGGUAAGACGAAGGAUGCAAGCGUUAUCCGGAUUCAUUGGGUUUAAAGGGUGCGUAGGCGGCCCGGUAAGUCAGUGGUGAAAUCUCCUUGCUUAACAAGGAAACUGCCAUUGAUACUGUCGGGCUUGAGUACAGUUGCUGUGGGCGGAAUAUGACAUGUAGUGGUGAAAUACAUAGAGAUGUCAUAGAACACCGAUUGCGAAGGCAGCUCACAAAACUGUAACUGACGCUGAGGCACGAAAGUGCGGGGAUCAAACAGGAUUAGAUACCCUGGUAGUCCGCACUGUAAACGAUGAUCACUCGCUGCUAGGGGGCAACCUUUAGUGGCUUAGCGAAAGCGAUAAGUGAUCCACCUGGGGAGUACGCCGGCAACGGUGAAACUCAAAG